RNAcentral lists this ribosomal RNA (500 nucleotides) under uncultured bacterium. RNAcentral describes it as "partial 16S ribosomal RNA". It matches the Rfam family "Bacterial small subunit ribosomal RNA", at positions 30 to 523 of the family's 1533-position model. The record is from RNAcentral.
AUUGAACGCUGGCGGAAUGCUUUACACAUGCAAGUCGAACGGCAGCACGGACUUCGGUCUGGUGGCGAGUGGCGAACGGGUGAGUAAUGUAUCGGAACGUGCCCAGGCGUGGGGGAUAACGUAGUGAAAAUUACGCUAAUACCGCAUACGAUCUAUGGAUGAAAGCGGGGGAUCGCAAGACCUCGCGCGAUUGGAGCGGCCGAUAUCAGAGUAAGUAGUUGGUGGGGUAAAGGCCCACCAAGCCAACGAUCUGUAGCUGGUUUGAGAGGACGACCAGCCACACUUGAACUGAGACACGGUCCAGACUCCUACGGGAGGCAGCAGUGGGGAAUUUUUGACAAUGGGCGAAAGCCUGAUCCAGCCAUUCCGCGUGCAGGAUGAAGGCCCUCGGGUUGUAAACUGAUUUUGUACAGAACGAAAAGGUUUCUACUAAUACUAGGAGCUCAUGACGGUACUGUAAGAAUAAGCACCGGCUAACUACGUGCCAGCCGCCGCGGUAA